RNAcentral lists this long non-coding RNA (456 nucleotides) under Homo sapiens (human). RNAcentral describes it as "HSALNT0319085". Lineage: Eukaryota; Metazoa; Chordata; Mammalia; Primates; Hominidae. The record is from RNAcentral.
UAGCUUGGGCUCAGAGGCCUGACAAUUAGCAGCCAGAUGCUAAUGGCACUAUCUGAGCAAAGUAAAUCUGAUAAACUGGCAAAGUUUAAUUGUUGGCUCAAUACAGAACUUAUAUUCUAAAAAAUUGCAUUGUCUUUCCGGAUGAAUUUAUGACAAGUUGUGGAAUUCCAUUUAAACAGAAUGUUGAAAAAUACUAGCUCCUAAGAAAAAACUAGUUAUAAUACCUGCUGGAGGGACAAAGGACAAUUAGUGAUGUCAUGUCUCUGACAGUAUUUCAUCCUCCAUGUUUCUCACCUUCAGGAAAGAAUAAUCCUCAUGAUAAAAGCGUACAUACCACAUGAAAAGCAAGAAAAGUGGGACCACCAGGAUAUUCUUGGACUUUUAACUUCCUGCAUUGCAACAUUGUAAGUGUGUACAGGCCUAAAGCUGAGAAAUUUUUGUGUGUUUCAUUUUAUG